Molecule: long non-coding RNA, 631 nt
Organism: Rosa chinensis
Lineage: Eukaryota; Viridiplantae; Streptophyta; Magnoliopsida; Rosales; Rosaceae
Exons: 3
Source: RefSeq, a predicted model, not a curated record
CUUAUUGUUCUGUUUGCUUUUUACCUUCUGAACCAAAAUUGAGGAAGCUUCAUGGAUGACAUCCUGUCUCGUUACUAUUGCUGUCAGUCAACUUCGAUGGAUGAUUAGUACUACAUCUGGGAUUCUUUUCAUCCAGAGUUCUUCAUGAAACUUGUUCGAAAUCAUGUCUUCUAUUCUGUGCUCGAAAAUCAUAACAAUGCAACGGUUGGAUUGUUCUCAAUCAAGUUCAUCCUCGCAAUGGGUCAUGUUCCUACAGUGAUGUUUAGUUUAACCCAUGAGAUCUUCACCUCAAUCUUGCUCUGAAACUUACAAGAGUGCUAAUUGUUGGUCUUGUAGGUACUGUGCACAAGGAAUCAAGGAUUGAGGAGGACUUCAGGAUUGAGCUAGGUGUUGUGUAUUCACCUUAAAUCUUUCGGUAUAAUUACAUUCACAUAUUUAAUCACCUCUGUUUUAAUUGUCAUUGUUUCUUUGAGGUGACAGUUUGAUUGUAAUGACCUCAAUCUUUGCUUAGUUCCUUCCGUUAAUUUUUAUUUGGUGUACCAAGUGUUCGAGACCAACUUGAGUUUCAUGAGUCUUAUUUUGGAUUGUUCUAAAUUGAAAACUUCGUUAUUAUGUACUUUCACAAAAGUGA